UUCUGAUUCCUUUGUUCACGCUACUUUUCCUUAUAAUAGGAGAGUUUCCCUCUUCCAGAGAGUCAAUGGGAUCCACAGACUCGCACUCUGAAUCUCUGACAUCGGCCAACUGAGAUUCGCAAGAAUCACCGUCCUCAGGCAACUUGACAGCACACGAUCGAGAAGACUGACCAGAGUUUGCAUGCAGCUAUCAGCCUGAGCAGGAGAAGAGACCAUUACCUCAGUCUGGACAGGGGGCACCACUGGACAGGUAGAAGUCAUCACAUCUUCAGACGUCUGGACAUGGGCUGUCACAUGCUUCACGGUGGCAGAACGUCUCGGUCAGCAACCCCCGGUGACCAAACUGGUGUUGAUCCAAUCGAUGACGAUGGCUGAUGUUGAUCUGGUCGACGACGAAGGGAUCCGGGUCACGGCACCAAUGUGGCCCGUCUGACUACGAUUCUGCAUUGUGUUCUGGUGUAUGGAUAAUGAACAGGACUCUGGACACUGGUUGCCGGUUUCUGGUCUUUUAUUCUAAAUUAGAUUAAAUAAAUGCAGUGAAUACAAUGGAAUGAAUGGUGAUGAGCUUCUCUAUGUUGCACGCAGAGCACACCUCUCCUCAGUAGAGCCAAAGAAUGAAUGGUGAUGAGCUUCUCUAUGUUGCACGCAGAGCACACCUCUCCUCAGUAGAGCCAAAGACAGACUGAGCUGCAUUCAAUUGAUAAUACAAUAAUACAGCUACUUCAUUGACCAUUACUCAAAACUAAUAACAUUCUUACAGUGUUUAGAAAAAGAUAUAUUCCUG
Long non-coding RNA from Polyodon spathula (Mississippi paddlefish), 784 nucleotides. RefSeq lists it as uncharacterized. The transcript has 4 exons. The record is from RefSeq and is a predicted model, not a curated record. NCBI's taxonomy places the organism in Eukaryota, Metazoa, Chordata, Actinopteri, Acipenseriformes, Polyodontidae.